Molecule: long non-coding RNA, 1610 nt
Organism: Homalodisca vitripennis (glassy-winged sharpshooter)
Lineage: Eukaryota; Metazoa; Arthropoda; Insecta; Hemiptera; Cicadellidae
Exons: 2
Source: RefSeq, a predicted model, not a curated record
AGAAUUUAAACUUUACUGUAUGUAUUGUUAUGUGCUUAAUGGAUAGAACACUGCAUUUUGAGGAUUUGAAUCUAUACUCUUAUUCAGGUUUAAGAAGACAUUACUUAGAAUUAAAUAAGUAAAAAUUAAUAUAUGGUGAUGAACUCUCCAGUCAUGAAAUUUAACAAUAGAAUAAGUUUUACAUAAAAAUAAUUCAAGCUAGUACAAAAAAAAUUGAGUUUUUCAUUUUAACGUUGAAUUUCUUGAAUUUUGUGAAUUUGUUUUAUAUGGAUUUGUGCUUUCUUAACCCUCAUUCUUUUUACAUCUGAUGUAGAGGACUGAUUCCACUCCUCAAAGGGUUGUAUCAUAUCCUUGUAACACAUAACAAUGGCUAGAGGUUUCCAACCAAUUUGAUUAAUGUAACAGUGAUGACUGAUGUCAUUUUAGAUGAAAAACAAAUGUAACAAUAAAUUAACAAACCUGAAUGUACUUUAAUAAUUUUGAUAGGAUUGAUGUUUUGGAAAUGGUGUUUAUGUUGGCGUAACAGGAUGAUCUACAUUCGGACAUCAAAAAGGUAUGUGGAAUAAGUAAUCAUUAUUCAACUUACUUAGCAAAUAAUCAUUAAUAUAUAAUAAUCGUAAUAUUCCACUCUGCUUUCUUAGAAUUAUAAUUCUAAAAAUAAUUACAAAACAUUGAGAAUUAUGCAACGUAGCAUUAAAUAUUGGAUAUUGUGCAGUAGGAAAUGGUAAUUGUUUCUUUUUAUAAAAUGCCUGUUUCAUUACCAAUUGAUGAUCAAUUAUUGUCACUAGAUAAAUGUCAAUUACAUUGUUAUAUUAAAUAUAAAACUUUAUCCAACUUUCGAUCUCUUUCAUCAAUUAUUUUUAUAGUUCUAGAUAUUAAUAGUCAGAACAAUAAAUUGUAUAUGAAAGCCCUGCAACUGAAAAACUUAUCAGGCAUAGUGUUACAAAGAACUGUUUUAUGUACAUUAUUUUAUUUCUAUGCCAUUGUUAUUGUAUCUUUUUAAAUAGGUCAUUAUAAUAGAACUAGCCAAAACAUUCUUGAAUUAUGAAUGUUAUAACUGAAAGUUUGGAUUUUAAUUGUGUAACAAUGUACAGUACACAAGUUCCUCAAUUAAAGUGUAUCUAUAAAGUUUAGUAAAUAAUUUAUCUAUUUCAAUACUGAAACAAUACCUUGUCUGAUUGAUUUAUCCAUUAUUGGGAUUAUUAAAAUUCUUUUAAAUGUGUUUUUAUAUAUCUUGAUUAGGACAUGUAGUUUGUUUUAAUUUAUUUUUAAGUAACAAAAAUAUUAUAUUAUUAAUGUGGCAGAGUAUUUCAGGAGAGUUACCUCAAAUCAGUGUGAAUGGCAUUACAGGUGUCGAUGACCCAAGACCACUGCAGUUUCCUUAUGACUUCUGCGGCUGAAUGUGCAAGCCUGAGCCCCGAUGUUAUCAUCACUUGUGUCAUUGCAGCUCUGUAGUGCCACUAACUGCACAACACGUUCACGUCAGACACAGCCAGGUGUUUUGCUGCAAUCGCUACAAUCGGCAGAAGAUUAUUGUGAUGUUUAUAAAUAUUUGAAAUCAAUGCGAGUUUUAUUUAUCCUUAUGUCCAUAAAGAUUUUUGUCAUCCAAA